GAUGAACGCUGGCGGCGUGCCUAAUACAUGCAAGUCGAGCGAACAGACGAGGAGCUUGCUCCUCUGACGUUAGCGGCGGACGGGUGAGUAACACGUGGAUAACCUACCUAUAAGACUGGGAUAACUUCGGGAAACCGGAGCUAAUACCGGAUAAUAUAUUGAACCGCAUGGUUCAAUAGUGAAAGACGGUUUUGCUGUCACUUAUAGAUGGAUCCGCGCCGCAUUAGCUAGUUGGUAAGGUAACGGCUUACCAAGGCGACGAUGCGUAGCCGACCUGAGAGGGUGAUCGGCCAAAGUGGAACUUAGACACGGCACCGACCCCUAAGGGGAGACGCAGUAGGGAAUUUUCCGGCAUGGGGGAAAGCCUGAAGGAGCAACGCCGGGUGAGUGAUGAAGGUCUUCGGAUCGUAAAACCCUGUUAUUAGGGAAGAAAAAAUGUGUAAGUAACUAAGCAAGUUUUGACGGUACCUAAUCAGAAAGCCAAGGCUAACUACGUG
This 497-nucleotide ribosomal RNA is filed under the name uncultured bacterium. RNAcentral's name for it is "partial 16S ribosomal RNA". It matches the Rfam family "Bacterial small subunit ribosomal RNA", at positions 28 to 507 of the family's 1533-position model. The record is from RNAcentral.